RNAcentral lists this ribosomal RNA (262 nucleotides) under uncultured bacterium. RNAcentral's name for it is "partial 16S rRNA". It matches the Rfam family "Bacterial small subunit ribosomal RNA", at positions 505 to 766 of the family's 1533-position model. The record is from RNAcentral.
GUGCCUGCAGCCGCGGUAAUACGUAGGUGGCAAGCGUUAUCCGGAAUUAUUGGGCGUAAAGCGCGCGCAGGUGGUUUCUUAAGUCUGAUGUGAAAGCCCACGGCUCAACCGUGGAGGGUCAUUGGAAACUGGGAGACUUGAGUGCAGAAGUGGAAAGCGGAAUUCCAUGUGUAGCGGUGAAAUGCGUAGAGAUAGGGAGGAACACCAGUGGCGAAUGCGACUUUCUGGUCUGUAACUGACACUGCGGCGCGAAAGCGGGGGG